Molecule: small nuclear RNA, 344 nt
Filed under: Vicugna pacos (alpaca)
Lineage: Eukaryota; Metazoa; Chordata; Mammalia; Artiodactyla; Camelidae
Description: 7SK RNA (ENSVPAG00000016364.1)
Rfam family: 7SK RNA (bases 1-289)
About the family: 7SK was discovered as an abundant small nuclear RNA in the mid-70s but a possible function has only recently been suggested.
Source: RNAcentral
GGAUGUGAAGGUGAUUUGGCUGCGACAUCUGUCAGCACGAAUGAUCGCCAGGGUUGAUUCGCCUGAUCUGGCAGGUGAGGCGGGUGUCCCCUUCUUCCCUCUCCGCUCCAUGUGCGUCCCUCCCGAAGCUGUUCUCAGUCAAAAAGGACAAGCAUCCUGAAUAGAGGAGGACUGUUCUUCUCAGUCAAGGCUAUACGAGUAGCUGCGCUCCCCUGCUAGAACCUCCAAACAAGCUCUUGGGAUCACUCACCGGUUGUACAUUUUUUUUUUUUUUAUCAAGGAUGAACCUACAUUGAUACAUCUUAGUCACCCAAAGUCCACAGUUUACCCUAGGGUUCACUCUU